Molecule: ribosomal RNA, 440 nt
Filed under: uncultured bacterium
Lineage: Bacteria
Description: partial 16S ribosomal RNA
Rfam family: Bacterial small subunit ribosomal RNA
Source: RNAcentral
CCUACGGGAGGCAGCAGUAGGGAAUAUUGCUCAAUGGGGGAAACCCUGAAGCAGCAACGCCGCGUGGAGGAUGAAGGUUUUCGGAUUGUAAACUCCUUUUGUUAGAGAAGAUAAUGACGGUAUCUAACGAAUAAGCACCGGCUAACUCCGUGCCAGCAGCCGCGGUAAUACGGGGGAUGCGAGCGUUAUCCGGAUUUAUUGGGUUUAAAGGGUGCGUAGGCGGCGCUUCAGGUCAGCGGUGAAAUACCGGGGCUCAACCCCGGGGCUGCCGUUGAAACCGGAGCGCUAGAAUUCCGAUGCCGUCGGAGGAAUGUGUGGUGUAGCGGUGAAAUGCAUAGAUAUCACACAGAACACCGAUUGCGAAGGCAUCUGACGAAUCGGAGAUUGACGCUGAUGCACGAAAGCGUGGGUAUCGAACAGGAUUAGAUACCCGUGUAGUC